AUUGAACGCUGGCGGAAUGCUUUACACAUGCAAGUCGAACGGCAGCACGGACUUCGGUCUGGUGGCGAGUGGCGAACGGGUGAGUAAUGUAUCGGAGCGUGCCCAGGCGUGGGGGAUAACGUGGUGAAAAUUACGCUAAUACCGCAUACGAACUAUGGAUGAAAGCGGGGGAUCGCAAGGCCUCGCGCGAAUGGGCCGGCCGAUAGCGGAUUAGGUAGUUGGUGGGGUAACGGCCCACCAAGCCAACGAUCUGUAGCUGAUCUGAGAGGACGACCAGCCACACUGGAACUGAGACACGGUCCAGACUCCUACGGGAGGCAGCAGUGGGGAAUUUUGGACAAUGGGCGAAAGCCUGAUCCAGCCACUCCGCGUGCAGGAUGAAGGCCCUCGGGUUGUAAACUGCUUUUGUACAGAACGAAAAGGUUUCUACUAAUACUAGGAGCUCAUGACGGUACUGUAAGAAUAAGCACCGGCUAACUACGUGCCAGCCGCCGCAGUAA
RNAcentral lists this ribosomal RNA (500 nucleotides) under uncultured bacterium. RNAcentral describes it as "partial 16S ribosomal RNA". It matches the Rfam family "Bacterial small subunit ribosomal RNA", at positions 30 to 523 of the family's 1533-position model. The record is from RNAcentral.